AGAGUUUGAUCCUGGCUCAGGAUGAACGCUGGCGGCGUGCUUAACACAUGCAAGUCGAACGGACGCUUGGGGCAACUUGAGCGUUAGUGGCAAACGGGUGAGUAACACGUGGGUGACCUACCUCAGAGUGGGGAACAACGGACCGAAAGGUUCGCUAAUACCGCAUUCGCUCGAUGAUUCAGUUUGUCGAGUAAAGCCCCCUUCGGGAGGCGCUUUGAGAGGGACCCGCGUCCCAUCAGGUAGUUGGUGAGGUAAUGGCCCACCAAGCCGAUGACGGGUAGCUGGUCUGAGAGGACGAUCAGCCACAAUGGAACUGAGACACGGUCCAUACUCCUACGGGAGGCAGCAGUGAGGAAUAUUGCGCAAUGGGCGAAAGCCUGACGCAGCGACGCCGCGUGGGUGACGAAGGCCUUCGGGUCGUAAAACCCUUUUAGCAGGGACGAGUGAGGACGGUACCUGCGGAAUAAGUCUCGGCUAACUACGUGCCAGCAGCCGCGGUAAAACGUAGGAGGCGAGCGUUAUCCGGAUUUACUGGGCGUAAAGCGCGCGUAGGCGGUUGAGUAAGUCAGAUGUUAAAGCCCUUGGCUCAACUAGGGGAGGUCAUUUGAUACUGCUCGGCUUGAGGGUGAUAGAGGAGAGUGGAAUUCCCGGUGUAGCGGUGGAAUGCGUAGAGAUCGGGAGGAACACCAGUGGCGAAAGCGGCUCUCUGGCUCACCCCUGACGCUGAGUGCGCGAAAGCGUGGGGAGCAAACAGGAUUAGAUACCCUGGUAGUCC
This 775-nucleotide ribosomal RNA is filed under the name uncultured bacterium. RNAcentral describes it as "bacterial SSU rRNA". It matches the Rfam family "Bacterial small subunit ribosomal RNA", at positions 8 to 796 of the family's 1533-position model. The record is from RNAcentral.